AGUGGCGGACGGGUGAGUAACGCGUGGGCAACCUGCCCUGUACAGGGGGAUAACACCGGGAAACCGGUGCUAAAACCGCAUAAAGCCGGUAAUGCGCAUGCAUAAUCGGUGAAAACUGAGGUGGUACAGGAUGGGCCCGCGUCCCAUUAGCUAGUUGGUGAGAUAACAGCCCACCAAGGCGACGAUGGGUAGCCGACCUGAGAGGGUGACCGGCCACACUGGGACUGAGACACGGCCCAGACUCCUACGGGAGGCAGCAGUGGGGAAUAUUGCGCAAUGGACGGAAGUCUGACGCAGCGACGCCGCGUGAGCGACGAAGGCCUUCGGGUCGUAAAGCUCUGUUCUUGGGGACGAAAAAGAUGACGGUACCCAAGGAGCAAGCCCCGGCUAACUACGUGCCAGCAGCCGCGGUAAUAC
RNAcentral lists this ribosomal RNA (417 nucleotides) under uncultured bacterium. Its description in RNAcentral is "bacterial SSU rRNA". It matches the Rfam family "Bacterial small subunit ribosomal RNA", at positions 94 to 526 of the family's 1533-position model. The record is from RNAcentral.